AGGCCCCUCCCUCCCAGCCACAGCGCCUGCUCACCCCUGCCACGUCAAAGGAGGCAGAAGGGGAGCCGAGAGCAGAGAGGGGACGU
Myotis lucifugus (little brown bat) is the source of this 86-nucleotide non-coding RNA. The record is from Rfam. Lineage: Eukaryota; Metazoa; Chordata; Mammalia; Chiroptera; Vespertilionidae.